This 606-nucleotide ribosomal RNA is filed under the name Debaryomyces hansenii. RNAcentral's name for it is "eukaryotic LSU rRNA". The stretch from base 222 to 375 matches the Rfam family "5.8S ribosomal RNA". The record is from RNAcentral. Lineage: Eukaryota; Fungi; Ascomycota; Pichiomycetes; Serinales; Debaryomycetaceae.
UGAACCUGCGGAAGGAUCAUUACAGUAUUCUUUUUGCCAGCGCUUAAUUGCGCGGCGAAAAAACCUUACACACAGUGUUUUUUGUUAUUACAAGAACUUUUGCUUUGGUCUGGACUAGAAAUAGUUUGGGCCAGAGGUUUACUGAACUAAACUUCAAUAUUUAUAUUGAAUUGUUAUUUAUUUAAUUGUCAAUUUGUUGAUUAAAUUCAAAAAAUCUUCAAAACUUUCAACAACGGAUCUCUUGGUUCUCGCAUCGAUGAAGAACGCAGCGAAAUGCGAUAAGUAAUAUGAAUUGCAGAUUUUCGUGAAUCAUCGAAUCUUUGAACGCACAUUGCGCCCUCUGGUAUUCCAGAGGGCAUGCCUGUUUGAGCGUCAUUUCUCUCUCAAACCUUCGGGUUUGGUAUUGAGUGAUACUCUUAGUCGAACUAGGCGUUUGCUUGAAAUGUAUUGGCAUGAGUGGUACUGGAUAGUGCUAUAUGACUUUCAAUGUAUUAGGUUUAUCCAACUCGUUGAAUAGUUUAAUGGUAUAUUUCUCGGUAUUCUAGGCUCGGCCUUACAAUAUAACAAACAAGUUGACCUCAAAUCAGUAGGAUUCCCUCUUCCCCC